AAGUGGCACAGCUCUUCCAGAAUCUGUCUAGCAGGCUUUCUGGGUUUUGCUGGAAAGCCCCU
Molecule: small nuclear RNA, 62 nt
Organism: Macaca fascicularis (crab-eating macaque)
Lineage: Eukaryota; Metazoa; Chordata; Mammalia; Primates; Cercopithecidae
Gene: U7
Rfam family: U7 small nuclear RNA
About the family: Animal histone pre-mRNAs are spliced by a different mechanism than nuclear pre-mRNAs and self-splicing introns.
Source: Ensembl